AAAGGCGAUUGUCGCGGGCUGGCGUAAGUCAGCGUGAGGAAAGUCGGGACAGCACAGAGCACCAUACUUCUUAACGGGAAGGCGUUGGAGACAACGACAGCAAGUGCCACAGAAAAUUACCGCCCGCAAGGGUAAGGGUGAAAACGCGAGGUAAGAGCUCACGCAUUGCCAUGGUGACACGGCAAUGAGGUAAACCUUAUGGGCUGCAAGACCAAAUAUACCGGCGAUUGAGGGUCGCUCGCCCGAGCCGGGAGGGUAGGUUGCUAAAGACAAGCGGCGACGCUUGCCUUAGAGAAAUGACAAUCAUUCCGCAAGGAAUACAGAAUCCCGCUUAUGCCUUUCCUU
RNAcentral lists this RNase P RNA (345 nucleotides) under Bacteroidales bacterium. RNAcentral describes it as "RNase P RNA component class A". It matches the Rfam family "Bacterial RNase P class A". Rfam says of the family: Ribonuclease P (RNase P) is a ubiquitous endoribonuclease, found in archaea, bacteria and eukarya as well as chloroplasts and mitochondria. Its best characterised activity is the generation of mature 5'-ends of tRNAs by cleaving the 5'-leader elements of precursor-tRNAs. The record is from RNAcentral. Lineage: Bacteria; Pseudomonadati; Bacteroidota; Bacteroidia; Bacteroidales.